CCUACGGGAGGCAGCAGUGAGGAAUAUUGGUCAAUGGGCGCGAGCCUGAACCAGCCAAGUAGCGUGAAGGAUGACUGCCCUACGGGUUGUAAACUUCUUUUAUAAAGGACUAAAGUGAGGCACGUGUGCCUUUUUGUAUGUACUUUAUGAAUAAGGAUCGUCUAACUCCGUGCCAGCAGCCGCGGUAAUACGGAGGAUCCGAGCGUUAUCCGGAUUUAUUGGGUUUAAAGGUAGCGUAGAUGGGUGGUUAAGUCAGUUGUGAAAGUUUGCGGCUCAACCGUAAAAUUGCAAUUGAUACUGGCAGUCUUGAGUACAGUUGAGGUAGGCGGAAUGUGUGGUGUAGCGGUGAAAUGCUUAGAGAUCACGAAGAACUCCGAUUGCGAAGGCAGCUUACUAAACUGCCACUGACAUUGAUGCUCGAAAGUGUGGGUAGCAAACAGGAUUAGAUACCCCGGUAGUC
RNAcentral lists this ribosomal RNA (460 nucleotides) under uncultured bacterium. Its description in RNAcentral is "partial 16S ribosomal RNA". It matches the Rfam family "Bacterial small subunit ribosomal RNA", at positions 338 to 795 of the family's 1533-position model. The record is from RNAcentral.